AGGACUUUAGUUUAAAAGUAAAAUACUCUCUUUGCACGAGAAUGAUGGAAAAUCCAGGUCUUA
RNAcentral lists this transfer RNA (63 nucleotides) under Trichodectes canis. Its description in RNAcentral is "tRNA-Ala". Lineage: Eukaryota; Metazoa; Arthropoda; Insecta; Psocodea; Trichodectidae. The record is from RNAcentral.